AUUGAACGCUGGCGGCAGGCCUAACACAUGCAAGUCGAACGAGUGGCGGACGGGUGAGUAAUGUCUGGGAAACUGCCUGAUGGAGGGGGAUAACUACUGGAAACGGUAGCUAAUACCGCAUACCAUCAGAUGUGCCCAGAUGGGAUUAGCUUGUUGGUGGUGGAACGGCGCACCAAGGCGACGAUCCCUAGAUGGGCUGAGAGGAUGACCGGCCAACUUGGAAAUGAGCCACGGUCCAGACUCCGACGAGAGGUAGCAGUGGGGAAUAUUGCACAAUGGGCGCAAGCCUGAUGCAGCCAUGCCGCGUGUAUGAAGAAGGCAUUCGGGUUGUAAAGUACUUUCAGCGGGGAGGCGUUACCCGCAGAAGAAGCACCGGCUAACUCCGUGCCAGCCGCCGCGGUAAUUC
Molecule: ribosomal RNA, 406 nt
Filed under: uncultured bacterium
Lineage: Bacteria
Description: partial 16S ribosomal RNA
Rfam family: Bacterial small subunit ribosomal RNA
Source: RNAcentral